UACGUAGGGUGCGAGCGUUGUCCGGAAUCACUGGGCGUAAAGCGCGUGUAGGCGGAUGGGCAAGUCUGCUGUGAAAGCGCCUGGCUUAACCGGGCGAGGUCGGUGGAAACUGCCAAUCUGGAGGACGGUAGAGGUGGGUGGAAUUCCCGGUGUAGUGGUGAAAUGCGUAGAGAUCGGGAGGAACACCUGUGGCGAAGGCGGCCCACUGGGCCGGACCUGACGCUGAGACGCGAAGGCGUGGGGAGCGAACGGG
This 253-nucleotide ribosomal RNA is filed under the name uncultured bacterium. RNAcentral describes it as "partial 16S ribosomal RNA". It matches the Rfam family "Bacterial small subunit ribosomal RNA", at positions 524 to 776 of the family's 1533-position model. The record is from RNAcentral.